AGCGUACACGGUGGAUGCCCUGGCAGUCAGAGGCGAUGAAGGACGUGCUAAUCUGCGAAAAGCGUCGGUAAGGUGAUAUGAACCGUUAUAACCGGCGAUGUCCGAAUGGGGAAACCCAGUGUGAUUCGUCACACUAUCGUUAACUGAAUACAUAGGUUAACGAGGCGAACCGGGGGAACUGAAACAUCUAAGUACCCCGAGGAAAAGAAAUCAACCGAGAUUCCCCCAGUAGCGGCGAGCGAACGGGGAGCAGCCCAGAGUCUGAAUCAGCUUGUGUGUUAGUGGAACGGUCUGGAAAGUCCGACGGUACAGGGUGAUAGUCCCGUACACCAAAAUGCACAGGUUGUGAACUCGAAGAGUAGGGCGGGACACGUGGUAUCCUGUCUGAAUAUGGGGGGACCAUCCUCCAAGGCUAAAUACUCCUGACUGACCGAUAGUGAACCAGUACCGUGAGGGAAAGGCGAAAAGAACCCCGGCGAGGGGAGUGAAAAAGAACCUGAAACCGUGUACGUACAAGCAGUGGGAGCACCUUCGGGUGUGACUGCGUACCUUUUGUAUAAUGGGUCAGCGACUUAUAUUCUGUAGCAAGGUUAACCGUAUAGGGGAGCCGCAGGGAAACCGAGUCUUAACUGGGCGUUAAGUUGCAGGGUAUAGACCCGAAACCCGGUGAUCUAGCCAUGGGCAGGUUGAAGGUUGGGUAACACUAACUGGAGGACCGAACCGACUAAUGUUGAAAAAUUAGCGGAUGACUUGUGGCUGGGGGUGAAAGGCCAAUCAAACCGGGAGAUAGCUGGUUCUCCCCGAAAGCUAUUUAGGUAGCGCCUCGUGAAUUCAUCUUCGGGGGUAGAGCACUGUUUCGGCUAGGGGGUCAUCCCGACUUACCAACCCGAUGCAAACUACGAAUACCGAAGAAUGUUAUCACGGGAGACACACGGCGGGUGCUAACGUCCGUCGUGAAGAGGGAAACAACCCAGACCGCCAGCUAAGGUCCCAAAGUCAUGGUUAAGUGGGAAACGAUGUGGGAAGGCACAGACAGCCAGGAUGUUGGCUUAGAAGCAGCCAUCAUUUAAAGAAAGCGUAAUAGCUCACUGGUCGAGUCGGCCUGCGCGGAAGAUGUAACGGGGCUAAACCAUGCACCGAAGCUGCGGCAGCGACACUAUGUGUUGUUGGGUAGGGGAGCGUUCUGUAAGCCUGCGAAGGUGGCCUGUGAGGGUUGCUGGAGGUAUCAGAAGUGCGAAUGCUGACAUAAGUAACGAUAAAGCGGGUGAAAAGCCCGCUCGCCGGAAGACCAAGGGUUCCUGUCCAACGUUAAUCGGGGCAGGGUGAGUCGACCCCUAAGGCGAGGCCGAAAGGCGUAGUCGAUGGGAAACAGGUUAAUAUUCCUGUACUUGGUGUUACUGCGAAGGGGGGACGGAGAAGGCUAUGUUAGCCGGGCGACGGUUGUCCCGGUUUAAGCAUGUAGGCGGAGGUUCCAGGUAAAUCCGGUACCUUUUAACGCUGAGGUGUGAUGACGAGGCACUACGGUGCUGAAGUAACAAAUGCCCUGCUUCCAGGAAAAGCCUCUAAGCAUCAGGUAACAUUAAAUCGUACCCCAAACCGACACAGGUGGUCAGGUAGAGAAUACCAAGGCGCUUGAGAGAACUCGGGUGAAGGAACUAGGCAAAAUGGUGCCGUAACUUCGGGAGAAGGCACGCUGGUGUGUAGGUGAAGUCCCUGCGGACGGAGCUGAGACCAGUCGAAGAUACCAGCUGGCUGCAACUGUUUAUUAAAAACACAGCACUGUGCAAACACGAAAGUGGACGUAUACGGUGUGACGCCUGCCCGGUGCCGGAAGGUUAAUUGAUGGGGUUAUCCGUAAGGAGAAGCUCUUGAUCGAAGCCCCGGUAAACGGCGGCCGUAACUAUAACGGUCCUAAGGUAGCGAAAUUCCUUGUCGGGUAAGUUCCGACCUGCACGAAUGGCGUAAUGAUGGCCAGGCUGUCUCCACCCGAGACUCAGUGAAAUUGAACUCGCUGUGAAGAUGCAGUGUACCCGCGGCAAGACGGAAAGACCCCGUGAACCUUUACUAUAGCUUGACACUGAACAUUGAGCCUUGAUGUGUAGGAUAGGUGGGAGGCUUUGAAGCGUGGACGCCAGUCUGCGUGGAGCCAACCUUGAAAUACCACCCUUUAAUGUUUGAUGUUCUAACGUUGGCCCCUUAUCGGGGUUGCGGACAGUGUCUGGUGGGUAGUUUGACUGGGGCGGUCUCCUCCCAAAGAGUAACGGAGGAGCACGAAGGUUAGCUAAUCCUGGUCGGACAUCAGGAGGUUAGUGCAAUGGCAUAAGCUAGCUUGACUGCGAGCGUGACGGCGCGAGCAGGUGCGAAAGCAGGUCAUAGUGAUCCGGUGGUUCUGAAUGGAAGGGCCAUCGCUCAACGGAUAAAAGGUACUCCGGGGAUAACAGGCUGAUACCGCCCAAGAGUUCAUAUCGACGGCGGUGUUUGGCACCUCGAUGUCGGCUCAUCACAUCCUGGGGCUGAAGUAGGUCCCAAGGGUAUGGCUGUUCGCCAUUUAAAGUGGUACGCGAGCUGGGUUUAGAACGUCGUGAGACAGUUCGGUCCCUAUCUGCCGUGGGCGCUGGAGAAUUGAGGGGGGCUGCUCCUAGUACGAGAGGACCGGAGUGGACGCAUCACUGGUGUUCGGGUUGUCAUGCCAAUGGCACUGCCCGGUAGCUAAAUGCGGAAGAGAUAAGUGCUGAAAGCAUCUAAGCACGAAACUUGCCCCGAGAUGAGUUCU
This 2773-nucleotide ribosomal RNA is filed under the name Klebsiella variicola. RNAcentral's name for it is "bacterial LSU rRNA". It matches the Rfam family "Bacterial large subunit ribosomal RNA". The record is from RNAcentral. Lineage: Bacteria; Pseudomonadati; Pseudomonadota; Gammaproteobacteria; Enterobacterales; Enterobacteriaceae.